RNAcentral lists this unclassified non-coding RNA (4051 nucleotides) under Leishmania donovani. RNAcentral describes it as "gene:LdHU3.34.1090(CDS-product:hypothetical_prote in_conserved)". Lineage: Eukaryota; Euglenozoa; Kinetoplastea; Trypanosomatida; Trypanosomatidae. The record is from RNAcentral.
AAGCAUCAAAACCUGAUUCCUUCGCCUUUCCUCCUCACCCCCGCACAUUACGGGUACCCUCAUUUCGUGCUUCUCACAGGCACAGUCAAGGGAGGGGGUGGGGGGCGCAAGUCGUGGUUGGAAGGCGCAGAAGGCAAGGCACAACGAUAGGAUCAGCUAAUCGGUACUGCACCUCUGCUUAUUCAAGGAUCAUCAAGGCCAGUACCCGCCCAUGGGAAAGAUUGGAUCGGUUCUGCAAUCGUGUCCGCAAAGAGAGGCGGGGGAGUAGCUGUUCGAAUUCUCCAAACGAAAAGGAAGCAGUCGGUUUGUAGUCAUGAGUGUAGGGUCCACGUCACUGCCGCCGUUGCUCCCCUCCGGCGCCGAUCUUCUAGUCUGCAUCGCCUCCUACUGGCCAUCUGCAACACAAGGAAAUGGGUCGGGCGCCGUGCGGCGCCAGCAAAGGCUUCCACUCGCAUGGAUCGCUGCCAGCCCUGCAGCACGCGUUGUUGCGGAGCAGCGGCAUGCGUGGGUGGUGCUCCCCUUUACUCAGAUCGGCACCUGCCCCGCUGAUGCUGAAGUCGAUGGCGCUGCCAGCGACGGAGUAGAGAACACAUUCGGAUCCGUUCUAGCAAACGCCACCGUGCAGCCAAGAGUGCUGCAGGUCGCUCUGAAGACGGACAGCGCGGAUGCGAGCGCAACCGGACUUGUCUCUUCGUCUUCGAAGCAAACCGCACACGGGAGCGUGGUUGCGAGUGUACUGUCGUGGCUGAGACGGACCGGGGAGAGCCUCGCAGACGUUGGUCACGCAGUCUCGCCAGUGAGGCCUGCAUCGCUUUCUUUCAACGGCCCCGCCUCUCCCCCAUCCACGCCGCUGAAGACGGCCAAAGGCAGAAGCAUCUCAGCGGCACGAGGUGUGAAAAACGCUGCGGACGCAGCUGGAUGCUGCGGAGCUCAUAUUGGCGGGAUCACAGUAGUGUUGGUGUCGGGUGUGCACGAGCUCGACGCGGCCGGCGCCGGCGCAGCAUUCACCGAAGGCAGAGCGUCGAGCGACGGAGCAGCGAAGCAGAAAGGCGCCUUUCCCACCCACGGCGAAGGAAAGCCGGCAGCACUGAGCCCACGUCUCCUCUUCCCCUCUACCACGUCGUGUGGCGGCUCCGUCGCCUCGAUGCUGUCAGUCCCACCCAAUGCAGCGGUCUACAAUGGCAUGGCUGGAGGGAGCAGGGAGGAAAGGAUGCCGUCCACCACAAACAGUAUUUUCCGCGCUGGGGCAGAAUUGCACGGCGACGAUGGCGGGGCCGACGAUGAGACCGCAAACGACCCGAAGACAGCCACAUCGGUGUAUGUGGUGCAGCAGUUCAGCGAGCUUCGGCACCGCAUACGCGAAGCACAACGGCAACGAGCGUCUGCGGCCGCCGUGUCAUCACGUGGGCUUCUUACCACGGUAUGGUACCGUCAAGUGUUUGUGGGCACUGCGGAAGCGACAGACAAGGCGCUGUGCGGUGUCUCACAGUGGUGGUUGCAGCGCUCGAUACGAAGGCACGAACUUCCCACGACGGCCUCCCAAGCCAUCAGCCUCACACACGGAAGCCAUAGUGUUCGCGUCAGUGGUAGUAGCUACAAUGAGCCGCGAACGCUUCCACCGCCGUUGCUGCACAUCAAGUACGUGGACGACGUCUUCGCAGAUCUUUGGUGGCCGCGCCGCUUCAUUAUGAUCGUGUAUCACCGCCUCUCAGAGCGGACGGCGCAUGCCCCGUGGGCGGCAAAGUUGUUUCUGCUGAUGUGGAUGAUACUCGUUGUCUUUGUAGAAAGCGUUCUUCACGGCGUUCUGCAAGUCGCUCCGCCCCUCCGCGCCAGUGAUGAGCGGCACAGCGGCAGCGGAAACGGCACGAGCCACCAAUGCCGCGUCCCUCCCGUGGAUCUCAUCUCUGCCUUCCACAAAAUGGGAAGGGUCUACGGAAGGCACCAGUUGGCAGCUCUCGAUGUGAGUCACACUGGAGUGCGUGGCACCCACCUACUCGCCUGCGUCCUCGGAAGCGUGAUGACACCGCCGACGACCAGUGAGGGCGAGGCAGCUGUGGCGCAUGGCAAGGGAUUGUGGGCGCUGGACGUGGCAGGGUGCACGCAGCUGCGCCACCGUCGCGGGGAGCUGUAUGCCUUGUCCCACAUGCUGGACCAACUAUGCAGCCACGCUGCCAGUCGAGUUGCUGAGCUCUCCCUAAGGGAACCUUCUGGAACGCUCGCCGUCGCCGACCUCCUUCUCUCCCUCUCCUUGCGAGAUGGCUCGCGGUUUGCUUCUCCGUCCGCCACCGGCCUCGCACUGGCCCUUUUGACACACCACGGUCAUCUCACCUGGGUGUGCGCCGCCGGCAGCGACGUGGACAGUGCCGCUUUGCGUGAGCUGGGUCGGUACGCGCUGCUGGUGGAAGCCGCUGCGGCGACGCAGCAGCCUCAACCGCCGCACUCACCGAUGUGCACCUUACGCGCACUCGACCUGACCAGCGCUCUGAGGGUUGAUGAUGUAAACCCGAUGGGGUACUUGACGCAGCUGGAGCAGCUGCUACUGCCCUUCACCUACGUUGACGACGUAGGCAUCGGUAGCCUCGACGGUCACACAUACGCGCAUGACCUAAGUGCGAUGUUGGCGUUGUUCACUACAGCGAUAGCAAAAGAGGCCCCUGAGCUACCAGAUGACGCACAGAAAUCGCUGCAGAGUACUCUGGACGCUCUGCAGCAUCUUAUCCUCAUCGACGACGACGGCGCUGGGCAAGCGGAUGUGCACCGCGGGAAUCCGCGCAAGGAUCUCGUGGAGGCGCUUCACCAGAAGUUCCGCUCCCAUCUGUAUCACCUCGACCUUACAUACUGUCUCUGUGUCUCAAGUGUAAAGGGCCUGGUGCGCCAGCAGCAGCUUGAGCUGCUGAACCUUAGCCAAACUCGAGUGAACAAGUUUGGCCUGUUCGGUGGCACAGACCCGCAUGACUCAUCAGGGUCGUCCGCGUCCGCGGCUCAGCCCCGUCGCACGCCGCCUCUCCGACUCUUCAUUGCGGAGAUGUGCGAGCAUCUCAGUGACCUCAGCGGUCUCGCUCACAUAAGCACACUCGAGUGUGUCAUUGUGCGCAGUGGCUCCCUCGGCGAUGAUGGGCUGCGUGCCCUGUGCACCCCUGACAUGCAGCGCCUGCAGCUGAUGGAUCUGAGCUACUGCGAUCGCCUGCACCAUGUAGGGUGCCUGGCGCAGCUGCCCGCCUUGGAGACACUCAUCCUGGACAGCACCGACGUAACCCCAGCGGAGGUGAAGCAGCUUCGCUCCAGUCGCUCUCUGCACACGCUAUCACUGCGCUUUUGCACCGAGUUUGCCUUCAUUGGCAGGGACUUGGAGAAGCUGGAGGCGGUAGUGGGCACCUUCGCAGCGCUCAAUAGGUACCUGUAUGAGGACCUUGCCGGAGAUGAUGAGCUUCGCAAGAAGACGAACUGACAUGCGCUCUAGGCCAUGCGUUCAUCUUUGCUGUCCUCCUUCCCUAUGUGAAGAGCCAGUGUGCUGGCGCAUCGCGUCAGCUGGCUCCGCACAGGGGGAGGGGAAGGGGAGCCGGGCGGUAUCGCCUCGGAAAAGGCCCUUCGUGAUAAUAGCGCAGCUCUCUUCCAAGUCCAAACUAUUCUUCACAUGGCUUUCCAUCCACCCAUACUCUCUCAUCCUCUUCUCCAGCCCGGCUAGUCUCUCAGUAUCACGAAUGCGGAGCUAAACGAGAAACGAUGGAAGAGGCGGAGGUGGAAUGUCCGUCACCACUCGCGCGCGAUGCCUUGUCGUUUUGUUGUUCUCCCCCCCACCCACCCACCCACCUACACACCCACCCCGGUGUAACGUGGAGGGGGAGCAAUGGUGGGUCGGGGACGCAGGACAGGGCAGGAUAUACGCAUGACGUCUGCUGCCUCCGCUGCGACCUACUCUGUGCUUGUAUGUGUGGCUUUUGUGCGCAUAGAUGUUGGACGUGCCGCCUGGCCUCUCUCUUCACGUAGCCCCAUUUUUUUCUUUCGUUUUGCUUUUUCUUGGUGCCUGUUUUCUUUCUCACCAUUGCAUAAG